RNAcentral lists this ribosomal RNA (253 nucleotides) under uncultured bacterium. RNAcentral's name for it is "partial 16S ribosomal RNA". It matches the Rfam family "Bacterial small subunit ribosomal RNA", at positions 524 to 776 of the family's 1533-position model. The record is from RNAcentral.
UACGAAGGGGGCUAGCGUUGCUCGGAUUUACUGGGCGUAAAGGGCGCGUAGGCGGACGGACAAGUUGGGGGUGAAAGCCCGGGGCUCAACCUCGGAACUGCCUUCAAAACUGUCAGUCUAGAGUUCGAGAGAGGUGUGUGGAACUCCGAGUGUAGAGGUGAAAUUCGUAGAUAUUCGGAAGAACACCAGUGGCGAAGGCGACACACUGGCUCGAUACUGACGCUGAGGCGCGAAAGCGUGGGGAGCAAACAGG